RNAcentral lists this ribosomal RNA (253 nucleotides) under uncultured bacterium. RNAcentral's name for it is "partial 16S ribosomal RNA". It matches the Rfam family "Bacterial small subunit ribosomal RNA", at positions 524 to 776 of the family's 1533-position model. The record is from RNAcentral.
GACGAACCGAGCGAACGUUGUUCGGAAUCACUGGGCUUAAAGGGCGCGUAGGCGGGAUGGCAAGUCGGUCGUGAAAUCCUUCGGCUCAACCGAAGAACGUCGGCCGAUACUGCCGUUCUUGAGGGAUGCAGAGGAGAUUGGAAUUCCCGGUGUAGCGGUGAAAUGUGUAGAGAUCGGGAGGAACACCGGUGGCGAAGGCGGGUCUCUGGGCAUCUCCUGACGCUGAGGCGCGAAAGCGUGGGGAGCAAACGGG